RNAcentral lists this ribosomal RNA (238 nucleotides) under Actinoplanes sp. ATCC 53533. RNAcentral's name for it is "partial 16S ribosomal RNA". It matches the Rfam family "Bacterial small subunit ribosomal RNA", at positions 1 to 248 of the family's 1533-position model. The record is from RNAcentral. Lineage: Bacteria; Bacillati; Actinomycetota; Actinomycetes; Micromonosporales; Micromonosporaceae.
UGUUGGAGAGUUUGAUCCUGGCUCAGGACGAACGCUGGCGGCGUGCUUAACACAUGCAAGUCGAGCGGAAAGGCCCUUCGGGGUACUCGAGCGGCGAACGGGUGAGUAACACGUGAGGAACCUGCCCUGGACUUUGGGAUAACCCUCGGAAACGGGGCUAAUACCGAAUACGACACGGUCUCGCAUGAGAUCCGUGUGGAAAGUUUUUCGGUCUGGGAUGGUCUCGCGGCCUAGUCAG